Molecule: ribosomal RNA, 931 nt
Filed under: human gut metagenome
Description: bacterial SSU rRNA
Rfam family: Bacterial small subunit ribosomal RNA
Source: RNAcentral
UGAACCAGCCAAGUAGCGUGAGGGAAGACUGCCCUAUGGGUUGUAAACCUCUUUUGUGCGGGGAUAAAGUGUGGGACGUGUCCCAUAUUGCAGGUACCGCACGAAUAAGGACCGGCUAAUUCCGUGCCAGCAGCCGCGGUAAUACGGAAGGUCCGGGCGUUAUCCGGAUUUAUUGGGUUUAAAGGGAGCGCAGGCCGUCCUUUAAGCGUGCUGUGAAAUGCCGCGGCUCAACCGUGGCACUGCAGCGCGAACUGGAGGACUUGAGUACGCACGAGGUAGGCGGAAUUCGUGGUGUAGCGGUGAAAUGCUUAGAUAUCACGAAGAACUCCGAUUGCGAAGGCAGCUUACCGGAGCGCAACUGACGCUGAGGCUCGAAAGCGCGGGUAUCGAACAGGAUUAGAUACCCUGGUAGUCCGCGCGGUAAACGAUGGAUGCCCGCCGUUGGGAUUUGGAUUUCAGCGGCCAAGCGAAAGCGUUAAGCAUCCCACCUGGGGAGUACGCCGGCAACGGUGAAACUCAAAGGAAUUGACGGGGGCCCGCACAAGCGGAGGAACAUGUGGUUUAAUUCGAUGAUACGCGAGGAACCUUACCCGGGCUUGAAUUGCAGGAGAACGAUCCAGAGAUGGUGAGGCCCUUCGGGGCUCCUGUGAAGGUGCUGCAUGGUUGUCGUCAGCUCGUGCCGUGAGGUGUCGGCUCAAGUGCCAUAACGAGCGCAACCCCUGUCCAUAGUUGCCAUCAGGUUUAGCUGGGCACUCUGUGGAGACUGCCGCCGUAAGGUGUGAGGAAGGUGGGGAUGACGUCAAAUCAGCACGGCCCUUACGUCCGGGGCUACACACGUGUUACAAUGGGGCAUACAGCGAGUUGGAUGUGCGCAAGUACGUCCGGAUCAAUAAAGUGCCUCUCAGUUCGGACUGGGGUCUGCAACCCGACC